This is a long non-coding RNA of Rhododendron vialii, 1756 nucleotides long. RefSeq lists it as uncharacterized. The transcript is spliced from 4 exons. NCBI's taxonomy places the organism in Eukaryota, Viridiplantae, Streptophyta, Magnoliopsida, Ericales, Ericaceae. The record is from RefSeq and is a predicted model, not a curated record.
GUCCCACAAUUGUCCAGCCACAAGGCUAAAUCGCAGGGGCAAUUUUGCACAUUUAUUGAAGUCCCGUUUUGUAGAUUUGUGUCUUGCUCAAGGGUAAUUAUGUCCAUUUGUCAAAAGCUCAAUUACUGUUAUACCCUCGUUGUACCGACGUGUUUCAUUUGUGUUCAAUUAUUUGAGGUCAAUAAUGGAAGUCCACUGUUCUAACCUGACACGCCAUAAGAGAUGAUGUUUGACUUCUCUCUCAUCCUCAUCUCUCAUUUCUCUGGAUCAGAAAGCACCAUGCUCUUCCAAAAUGAUGACUACUCGCAUCUCCUCCGUCUCCGCCGACUUCCACCGCAUCUCUCUGGAGACCAUGUCCGCGGUUGAUUAGUACCGAGGGUGAAGUCCAAUGGAAGAUGACGCAGCAGAACGAUUGAGUUUUGUAAUCGAUUUGAUUGAGAAUAGAGCUAAGGACCGUAAGGAGGUCUGGAGCAAGAGCAGAAUGAUUUGAUUCAUGUAUGGGGCCUUGAUCUUACUCGCCGGAUAUGUGCGGAGCUAUGAAGCCAAAACUCCAACUCUGUGUCUAUUUCAUUCUGAGCUGAGCCAAAACUCCAACUAUCUGUUUAUUUUAUUCUGGGUGAAUGAGCAGGGUAUGAAACGAUUUCUAUUUUAUUAACUCCCUACAAAUUAUAUGGGAAGGGAAAGAAAACAUGACGAGAGAAUAUGAUAUAUUGAUGUUGCAGAGGCCACAUGAGAAGAUAGGUGUUGCUGAUGCUCAAUCGAUAGAGCGUAAGGUGCUGCCGUCCUACGAGAUUAGGGCUUAUCAACUGACGGAAAGCCACCAUUUGAAAGGGUAAGGAACUAAAGAACCUAGCAUGUUGUGUUAUAUGAGUUUAUGACAUAGUUCUUUAUCUAAGGCUUUAAAAACUAAACGUUGCAGCCAAAUUGAGAGGCUUGCCAAUUUGUGGCCAAUUUUGCCAAUUUUAUCCCUCAAUUGUCCAGCCACAAGGAUAAACUGCGGGGGUAAUUUCGUACAUUCAUUGAGGUCUGUUUUUGUAUAUUUGUGUCUUGGCCAGGGGUAAUCACGUCCAUUGAUUAAAAGCUCAGCUACUGUUUUACCCUCACUGUACCUACGUGUUUCAUUUGUGUCCAUCUCUAUUUUUGCGUUUUCCUAUUUGAUUUUGCUUUCUUUUGUUUGUCUCACAGACUUGCAGGUUUCGAUAAUCAUGUCUUCUUCUCCUUCUCUGGACAAGGCUGAAAUGAUUGAAGAGAAACUAAAGCGGUUUGAGAAGGUGAAUGAGUGAUGAAAAGAUAGGCGAAGAAGCUCAUUGAAGCCACAAAUUCGCAGAAAUCAGCACCCAAAACCAUCAGACCCAAGGAGUCAAUGAUCUAACUGUCAUUGGAACUUGGAAGGUAUUGAUUUGAAUCAGUGCAGCCUAUUUGCUUUCUUUACUGGGACCAAAUGGUCUUUCACUUCCAUAUUUAGGCUAUGUUUGAGUCAUGGAUUUGUGCACAAAUUUACGGAGGAAAAAAAUAGGGAAAUGGAACAAAUGAAUUCUUCUUUGUCACUUGGGUUUUCUUAUCUUUUCCUUUCCUUUCCUUUCCUUUAUAUCUUCCUUCCUGCGUUUGUAAAUCUUGUGACAGAGACAUAAUUUAAGUUUGGCUUUGUUAUUUUUUUUAAAAAUUGAGUUAAUUGACAAGUUGGUUUUGCCCAUUGCAAUCUUUGGUGGUUUGUUCCAUACUUCAGUAAAUUCCACAGGUCUUUUAAUCUUAACUG